GAGAGAGAGAGAGAGAGGAGAAAAGAUAUGGUGAACAUCGUUGCAAUAUACAUGACCUUAUUGCAUGGGCUAUUAAAGCUAGCUGGAAUGAGACCACGAGAAGUGGAGAUCCAGCCGGGGACGGUGAUGCACUUCUGGGUUCCAAGAGAAACCAUAGGCAAGCCUGUUGUUGUAUUUCUUCAUGGUUUUGCACUAAAUGGGAUUAUGACAUGGCAAUUUCAGGUGCUUUCUUUGGCCAGAAGUUACGAAGUUUAUGUGCCUGAUUUCCUCUUUUUUGGAGGCUCAAUAACCGAUAAGGCUGAUCGGUCACCGGCGUUCCAAGCUGAGUGCAUAGCCAAGGGUCUAAGGAAGCUUGGAGUGGACAAGUGCACUUUGGUUGGUUUCAGUUAUGGAGGAAUGGUUGGGUUCAAGAUGGCUGAGGUGUACCCUGAUUUGGUUACAUCAAUGGUUGUAACCUGCUCGGUUAUGGCUCUUACCGAGUCCAUUACUCGUAGCGGUUUACAGAGAAUUGGGUUCUCAUCUUGGGCAGAAUAUUUGCUUCCUGAAACAAGCAAGGGUUUGAAACAAAUGCUGGACAUUGCUAGCUACAAGCUGCCCUGGCUGCCUAAUUUUGUUUACAAACAUCUUUUGGAGGUCAUGUUUGAUAAUAGGAAGGAGAGAACUGAACUUUUGGAGGCAUUAAUCACAAGGGACAAGGACUUUAGCAUCCAUGGCUACUCACAGAACAUUCAACUUUUGUGGGGAGAAAAUGACAUACUUUUCAAACUGGAAGACGCUCAUAAUUUGAAAGGGCAACUAAAAGGCAAAGCAACAUUGCAUUCCAUAGAGAAGGCAGGCCACCUGGUUCCUAUAGAGCGACCAUUUGCUUACAAUACCCUCCUCAAGAAAAUUCUGGCCUCUUUCUGUGAAGAUGAAAAGCAGAAAUUGUGAAGAACAACAAUUAGCAUUUUAUUGUCAUUGAGUAGUUUGCUUGCCAUCAAACAGUACUGAUCUGAUGUAAUUUCUUUUUUGAGUUGGGAAAUAAAGAUAAAUUAGC
RNAcentral lists this unclassified non-coding RNA (1036 nucleotides) under Hevea brasiliensis (rubber tree). The record is from RNAcentral. Lineage: Eukaryota; Viridiplantae; Streptophyta; Magnoliopsida; Malpighiales; Euphorbiaceae.